GCGGGCGUAGCGCAAUGGUAGCGCACUAGCCUUCCAAGCUAGAUGUUGCGGGUUCGAGUCCCGUCGCCCGCUCCA
Molecule: transfer RNA, 75 nt
Filed under: Acidobacteriota bacterium
Lineage: Bacteria; Pseudomonadati; Acidobacteriota
Also listed under: 2 other names
Description: Acidobacteria bacterium (drinking water metagenome) tRNA-Gly
Rfam family: tRNA
About the family: Transfer RNA (tRNA) molecules are approximately 80 nucleotides in length. Their secondary structure includes four short double-helical elements and three loops (D, anti-codon, and T loops).
Source: RNAcentral